UCCGAGUUGUCCCCGGCAUUACCCGCUGGCAACUAAGGGCAGGGGUUGCGCUCGUUGCGGCACUUAAGCCAACACCUCACGGCACGAGCUGACGACAGCCAUGCAGCACCUGUGCUAGCCCCUUACGGACACGGGCUUUCACCCGCUUUAACUAGCAUGUCAAACCCAGGUAAGGUUCUUCGCGUUGCAUCGAAUUAAUCCACAUGCUCCGCCGCUUGUGCGGGCCCCCGUCAAUUUCUUUGAGUUUUAGCCUUGCGGCCGUACUCCCCAGGCGGGGUACUUAAUGCGUUAGCUACGGCACGGAUCCCAAGGAAGGAAACCCACACCUAGUACCCACCGUUUACGGCGUGGACUAC
RNAcentral lists this unclassified non-coding RNA (356 nucleotides) under uncultured Actinomycetes bacterium. RNAcentral describes it as "uncultured actinobacterium contains 16S-23S intergenic spacer region". The record is from RNAcentral. Lineage: Bacteria; Bacillati; Actinomycetota; Actinomycetes.